UGAGCAGGCUGUGUGAUAGCGUGGCGUUUGCCAUGAGGAAAGUCCGAGCAUCAUAGGACGGGAUAGCUGCUAACGGCAGCCGGAGGCGACUCUAGAGCUAGUGCAACAGAGAGAUACCGCCGUACUUCGGUACGGUAAGGGUGGAAAGGUGCGGUAAGAGCGCACCAGAGUGCAGGAGACUGCACUGCUAUGUAAACCUUAUCCGAUGCAACGCCUAUUGGUACGCACUGCCGCAACAUCGGUCCGGUGGGCAGCGGCGUAAUGGCGGCUUGAACUGUGAGGCGACUUGCAGGCUAGAUAAAUUAUCACACACGACAGAACUCGGCUUAUAGGUCUGGUCAUAAG
Molecule: non-coding RNA, 345 nt
Organism: Ruminococcus sp. CAG:330
Lineage: Bacteria; Bacillati; Bacillota; Clostridia; Eubacteriales; Oscillospiraceae
Source: Rfam